Erwinia tracheiphila is the source of this 119-nucleotide non-coding RNA. The record is from Rfam. NCBI's taxonomy places the organism in Bacteria, Pseudomonadati, Pseudomonadota, Gammaproteobacteria, Enterobacterales, Erwiniaceae.
ACACAUGCCCUGAUGACAACCAUUAUUAUUACCACCAUUACCACAGGUAACGGUGCGGGCUGACGCAUACAAAGAACUCAAAAAAAGCCCGCACCUUGAACAGUGCGGGUUUUUUUUCG